Molecule: long non-coding RNA, 193 nt
Organism: Oncorhynchus tshawytscha (Chinook salmon)
Lineage: Eukaryota; Metazoa; Chordata; Actinopteri; Salmoniformes; Salmonidae
Exons: 2
Source: RefSeq, a predicted model, not a curated record
UUCUAGGACAACAGUUGGUAAUGAUGGAGAGACAGACGGCAGGAAUAAAGGUCAUGUUGGUUCAGCAGGAAGUCCUCUGGUGUUUAAUUAAGGUCAUGUUGGUUCAGCAGGAAGUCCUCUGGUGUUUAAUUAAGGUCAUGUUGGUUCAGCAGGAAGUCCUCUGGUGUUUAAUAAACGUCAUGUUGGUACAGCA